RNAcentral lists this ribosomal RNA (480 nucleotides) under uncultured bacterium. Its description in RNAcentral is "bacterial SSU rRNA". It matches the Rfam family "Bacterial small subunit ribosomal RNA", at positions 25 to 507 of the family's 1533-position model. The record is from RNAcentral.
CAGGAUGAACGCUAGCGGGAGGCCUAACACAUGCAAGCCGAGCGGUAUUGUUUCUUCGGAAAUGAGAGAGCGGCGUACGGGUGCGGAACACGUGUGCAACUGCCUUUAUCUGGGGGAUAGCCUUUCGAAAGGAAGAUUAAUACUCCAUAAUAUAUUGAACGGCAUCGUUUAAUAUUGAAAGCUCCGGCGGAUAGAGAUGGGCACGCGCAAGAUUAGCUAGUUGGUGAGGUAACGGCUCACCAAGGCAAUGAUCUUUAGGGGCCUGAGAGGGUGAUCCCCCACACUGGUACUGAGACACGGACCAGACUCCUACGGGAAGCAGCAGUGAGGAAUAUUGGUCAAUGGGUGCAAGCCUGAACCAGCCAUCCCGCGUGAAGGACGACUGCCCUAUGGGUUGUAAACUUCUUUUGUAUAGGGAUAAACCUACCCUCGUGAGGGUAGCUGAAGGUACUAUACGAAUAAGCACCGGCUAACUCCGUG